Long non-coding RNA from Dalotia coriaria, 347 nucleotides. RefSeq lists it as uncharacterized. NCBI's taxonomy places the organism in Eukaryota, Metazoa, Arthropoda, Insecta, Coleoptera, Staphylinidae. The record is from RefSeq and is a predicted model, not a curated record. The transcript is spliced from 3 exons.
GAAACAUUUGAGCAUCUAGCAAAAAGUAACUUAAUAUGGUAUUCUGAAUUCUCGAGUAUAGCUGACAUAUAUGAAUAUGAAGAAUCUGAACCAUUUAAAACAAUACAUCGAAAUUUCCGAAAAAUCAACAAUGUUGACCUGCCAACACUUAAUGACAAGAAGUUUGCGUACUUUAUUGACGUUUCAAGACACUCUUUUUUUACGAUCGAUCCAUAUUUUACGCUUGAACGCCUCGGUAACUAUCAGUUAAUGCGAGAAGCAAUGCCCAUGCAAUACAUUGCUUCCCUAUUUCGAAGGAACUCUGUACUUUUACCGACGUACAAUAAAUUAGUUAGUAAAUGUCUUGA